RNAcentral lists this unclassified non-coding RNA (390 nucleotides) under uncultured fungus. RNAcentral's name for it is "sequence contains ITS1". The stretch from base 1 to 105 matches the Rfam family "5.8S ribosomal RNA", at positions 50 to 154 of the family's 154-position model. The record is from RNAcentral. Lineage: Eukaryota; Fungi.
GAAAUGCGAUAAGUAAUGUGUAUUGCAGAAUUCAGUGAAUCAUCGAAUCUUUGAACGCACCUUGCACUCCUUGGUAUUCCGAUGAGCAGGCCUGUUCGAGUGUCAUGAAACCCUCAAACCCAAGUUUUGAAGUUCUAUCCAUGCUUGAGUUUGGAUUUGGAUGUUUGCCGGUGAUGAACCGACUCAUCUUAAAAGUAUUAGCUUGGAUCUGUCUAUAUGACUGGUUUGACUUGGCAUAAUAAGUAUUUUGCUGAGGACAUCUUCGGAUGGCCAGGACCUAGACUACUGUCUGCUAACUAAACCAUCACUUUAAGUGCAUCUUUGGAUGUUACUCAUUGUGUAACUUUGACAUCUGGCCUCAAAUCAAGUAGGACUACCCGCUGAACUUAA